UAAAACGUUGCUUCGGCGGGAACAGACGGCCCUGUAACAACGGGCCGCCCCCGCCAGAGGACCCCUAACUCUGUUUUUAUAAUGUUUUUCUGAGUAAACAAGCAAAUAAAUUAAAACUUUCAACAACGGAUCUCUUGGCUCUGGCAUCGAUGAAGAACGCAGCGAAAUGCGAUAAGUAAUGUGAAUUGCAGAAUUCAGUGAAUCAUCGAAUCUUUGAACGCACAUUGCGCCCGCCAGUAUUCUGGCGGGCAUGCCUGUUCGAGCGUCAUUACAACCCUCAGGCCCCCGGGCCUGGCGUUGGGGAUCGGCAGAAGCCCCCUGUGGGCACACGCCGUCCCUCAAAUACAGUGGCGGUCCCGCCGCAGCUUCCAUUGCGUAGUAGCUAACACCUCGCAACUGGAGAGCGGCGCGGCCAUGCCGUAAAACACCCAACUUCUGAAUGUUGACCUCGAAUCAGGUAGGAAUACCCGCUGAACUUAAGCAUAUCAAUAA
RNAcentral lists this ribosomal RNA (492 nucleotides) under Fusarium oxysporum. RNAcentral describes it as "eukaryotic LSU rRNA". The stretch from base 115 to 268 matches the Rfam family "5.8S ribosomal RNA". The record is from RNAcentral. Lineage: Eukaryota; Fungi; Ascomycota; Sordariomycetes; Hypocreales; Nectriaceae.